This 1459-nucleotide ribosomal RNA is filed under the name Bacteroides fragilis. Its description in RNAcentral is "bacterial SSU rRNA". It matches the Rfam family "Bacterial small subunit ribosomal RNA". The record is from RNAcentral. Lineage: Bacteria; Pseudomonadati; Bacteroidota; Bacteroidia; Bacteroidales; Bacteroidaceae.
CUACAGGCUUAACACAUGCAAGUCGAGGGGCAUCAGGAAGAAAGCUUGCUUUCUUUGCUGGCGACCGGCGCACGGGUGAGUAACACGUAUCCAACCUGCCCUUUACUCGGGGAUAGCCUUUCGAAAGAAAGAUUAAUACCCGAUAGUAUAAUGAUUCCGCAUGGUUUGAUUAUUAAAGGAUUCCGGUAAAGGAUGGGGAUGCGUUCCAUUAGGUUGUUGGUGAGGUAACGGCUCACCAAGCCUUCGAUGGAUAGGGGUUCUGAGAGGAAGGUCCCCCACAUUGGAACUGAGACACGGUCCAAACUCCUACGGGAGGCAGCAGUGAGGAAUAUUGGUCAAUGGGCGCUAGCCUGAACCAGCCAAGUAGCGUGAAGGAUGAAGGCUCUAUGGGUCGUAAACUUCUUUUAUAUAAGAAUAAAGUGCAGUAUGUAUACUGUUUUGUAUGUAUUAUAUGAAUAAGGAUCGGCUAACUCCGUGCCAGCAGCCGCGGUAAUACGGAGGAUCCGAGCGUUAUCCGGAUUUAUUGGGUUUAAAGGGAGCGUAGGUGGACUGGUAAGUCAGUUGUGAAAGUUUGCGGCUCAACCGUAAAAUUGCAGUUGAUACUGUCAGUCUUGAGUACAGUAGAGGUGGGCGGAAUUCGUGGUGUAGCGGUGAAAUGCUUAGAUAUCACGAAGAACUCCGAUUGCGAAGGCAGCUCACUGGACUGCAACUGACACUGAUGCUCGAAAGUGUGGGUAUCAAACAGGAUUAGAUACCCUGGUAGUCCACACAGUAAACGAUGAAUACUCGCUGUUUGCGAUAUACAGUAAGCGGCCAAGCGAAAGCAUUAAGUAUUCCACCUGGGGAGUACGCCGGCAACGGUGAAACUCAAAGGAAUUGACGGGGGCCCGCACAAGCGGAGGAACAUGUGGUUUAAUUCGAUGAUACGCGAGGAACCUUACCCGGGCUUAAAUUGCAGUGGAAUGAUGUGGAAACAUGUCAGUGAGCAAUCACCGCUGUGAAGGUGCUGCAUGGUUGUCGUCAGCUCGUGCCGUGAGGUGUCGGCUUAAGUGCCAUAACGAGCGCAACCCUUAUCUUUAGUUACUAACAGGUUAUGCUGAGGACUCUAGAGAGACUGCCGUCGUAAGAUGUGAGGAAGGUGGGGAUGACGUCAAAUCAGCACGGCCCUUACGUCCGGGGCUACACACGUGUUACAAUGGGGGGUACAGAAGGCAGCUAGCGGGUGACCGUAUGCUAAUCCCAAAAGCCUCUCUCAGUUCGGAUCGAAGUCUGCAACCCGACUUCGUGAAGCUGGAUUCGCUAGUAAUCGCGCAUCAGCCACGGCGCGGUGAAUACGUUCCCGGGCCUUGUACACACCGCCCGUCAAGCCAUGGGAGCCGGGGGUACCUGAAGUACGUAACCGCAAGGAUCGUCCUAGGGUAAAACUGGUGACUGGGGCUAAGUCGUAACAAGGUAGCCG